GCGAAGGCGGCUUUUUUGGUACUGUAACUUGACGCUCAGGCGCGAAAGCGUGGGGAGCAAACAGGAUUAGAUACCCUGGUAGUCCACGCCGUAAACGAUGACUGCUUAGUGUUAGAGGCUUUCCGCCCUUUAUUGCUGCACCUAACCCAUUAAUCACUCCGCCUGGGGAGUACGGUCCCAAGACUGAAACUCAAUGGAUUUGACGGGGGCCCGCACAACCGGUGAACCAUGUGUUUUAUUUCAUACCACCCCGAAAAACCUUACCACGUCUUGACUUCCUCUGACUUCUCUAAAAAUAUAUCGUUCCCCUUC
Molecule: ribosomal RNA, 312 nt
Filed under: Priestia megaterium
Lineage: Bacteria; Bacillati; Bacillota; Bacilli; Caryophanales; Bacillaceae
Description: bacterial SSU rRNA
Rfam family: Bacterial small subunit ribosomal RNA
Source: RNAcentral